RNAcentral lists this ribosomal RNA (497 nucleotides) under uncultured bacterium. Its description in RNAcentral is "partial 16S ribosomal RNA". It matches the Rfam family "Bacterial small subunit ribosomal RNA", at positions 28 to 507 of the family's 1533-position model. The record is from RNAcentral.
GAUGAACGCUGGCGGCGUGCCUAAUACAUGCAAGUCGAGCGAACGGACGAGAAGCUUGCUUCUCUGAUGUUAGCGGCGGACGGGUGAGUAACACGUGGAUAACCUACCUAUAAGACUGGGAUAACUUCGGGAAACCGGAGCUAAUACCGGAUAAUAUUUUGAACCGCAUGGUUCAAAAGUGAAAGACGGUCUUGCUGUCACUUAUAGAUGGAUCCGCGCUGCAUUAGCUAGUUGGUAAGGUAACGGCUUACCAAGGCAACGAUGCAUAGCCGACCUGAGAGGGUGAUCGGCCACACUGGAACUGAGACGCGGUCCCGACUCCUACGGGAGGCAGCAGUAGGGAAUCUUCCGCAAUGGGCGAAAGCCUGACGGAGCAACGCCGCGUGAGUGAUGAAGGUCUUCGGAUCGUAAAACUCUGUUAUUAGGGAAGAACAUAUGUGUAAGUAACUGUGCACAUCUUGACGGUACCUAAUCAGAAAGCCACGGCUAACUACGUG